RNAcentral lists this ribosomal RNA (253 nucleotides) under uncultured bacterium. Its description in RNAcentral is "partial 16S ribosomal RNA". It matches the Rfam family "Bacterial small subunit ribosomal RNA", at positions 524 to 776 of the family's 1533-position model. The record is from RNAcentral.
UACGAAGGGAGCUAGCGUUGUUCGGAAUCACUGGGCGUAAAGCGCACGUAGGCGGAUUUGCCAGUCAGGGGUGAAAUCCCGGGGCUCAACCUCGGAACUGCCUUUGAUACAGCAAGUCUUGAGUUCGAGAGAGGUGGGUGGAAUUCCUAGUGUAGAGGUGAAAUUCGUAGAUAUUCGCAAGAACACCAGUGGCGAAGGCGGCUCACUGGCCCGAUACUGACGCUGAGGUGCGAAAGCGUGGGGAGCAAACAGG